RNAcentral lists this ribosomal RNA (293 nucleotides) under uncultured bacterium. RNAcentral's name for it is "partial 16S ribosomal RNA". The record is from RNAcentral.
GGACUACUGGGGUUUCUAAUCCUGUUCGCUCCCCACGCUUUCGCUCCUCAGCGUCAGUACCGGCCCAGACCACCGCCUUCGCCACUGGUGUUCCUCCUGAUAUCUGCGCAUUUCACCGCUACACCAGGAAUUCCAUGGUCCCCUACCGGACUCAAGCCAUGACAGUAUCGAAUGGCGGCCCCAGGUUAAGCCUGGGGGUUUCACAUCCGACUUAUCAAGCCGCCUACGAGCUCUUUACGCCCAAUAAAUCCGGACAACGCUUGCACCCUACGUAUUACCGCGGCUGCUGGCAC